UGUUGCGUAUAGGUGCUGUUUUCUAAGCGUGGUCCGAGCCUAAUUCCCUUCGAAAGGGGAUCUAGUCCACAGAGGGUGCAAGUCCCGUGCGGAAUCGGAUUGCGUUUGGUUUCUCAGUACCUUGGAGUCGGGUUGCUUGAAAGUGCAGCCUAAAGUGGGUGAUAAACUUCAUCUAAGACUAAAUAUUAGCACGAAUUCGAUAGCCAACAAGUACCGUGAGGGAAAGUUGCAAAGAACUUUGAAGAGAGAGUUCAAUAGAACGUGAAAUCACUGGCAUGGAAGCGGAAGGAGCUGAUGUAGCCUUGAGACCAAGUUGUUUUUAGAGUGCUUGAUUGUGCUCGAGAACGAUGGGUGUUUCUUUUGCUACGCCGACAGCGUUGAUGACGUGCUUCGACCCGAUUAGUGUUGCCCAACUGCUUGCAGUUGGUGUCUUGCUACCGGUUAGAUUCAUCGUUGCCAACGUCUAACCCUGCGUGCAGGGUGUCGGUGUCAAAGUCGGCCACCCUUCCGUCCCGUCUUGAAACACGGACCGAGGAGUGUAUCUAGUGCGCGAGUCAAGGGGUGUUAAACCCUACGGCGAAAUGAAAAUGAUAUCAUGGGAUUCCUCUUUGAGGACGCACCAUGGCCCUAUCCCAGUUGCUUGCAACGGGGUGGAGGAAGAGCGUACUGGAUGCGACCCGAAAGAUGGUGAACUAUACCUGAGCAGGACGAAGUCAGAGGAAACUCUGAUGGAAGUCCGUAUCGGUUCUGACGUGCAAAUCGAUCGAUAGACUUGGGUAUAGGGGCGAAAGACUAAUCGAACCAUCUAGUAGCUGGUUCCCUCCGAAGUUUCCCUCAGGAUAGCUGGAGCCCUGCGUGGUUAUAUCCGGUAAAGCGAAUGAUUAGAGGAUUUGGGGUCGAAACGACCUCAACCUAUUCUCAAACUUUCAAUGGGUAUGUUGUUGGUCUUUCCUAUGAAGACUGACACGAACGCGGGUUCCAAGUGGGCCAUUUUUGGUAAGCAGAACUGGCGCUGUGGGAUGAACCAAACGCGGUGCUAAGGUGCCCAACUUUUCGCUCAUGGGACCCCAUAAAAGGCGUUACUUGAUGAAGACAGCAGGACGGUGGCCAUGGAAGUCGGUACCCGCUAAGGAGUGUGUAACAACUCACCUGCCGAAUCAACUAGCCCUGAAAAUGGAUGGCGCUUAAGCGAAAGACCUAAACACCGCCGUUGCUGACUUGUGCGUUGAAAAUCGCCUGGUCGCAACGAGUAGGAGGGUCCUGGUGGUUGCGUCGAAGGCUUUGGGCGUGAGCUCAGCUGGAGCUUCCAUCAGUGCAGAUCUCGGUAGUAGUAGCAAAUAUUUAAGUUCGAUCCUUGAAGACUGAAGUGGGGAAGGGUUCCACGUGAACAGUAGUUGUAUGUGGGUAAGCCGGUCCUAAGAUACUGGCGAACGCCGUGUAUCAUCGUUGCGAGCAUUUUGUUAGCAACGAAUGUCAAAAGGGAAUGGGGUUAAUAUUCCCCAGCGUGGAUAUGGCGAUGGCGGUUCUUUGAACCGUCUGCGCGGUAACGCACUCGAAAUCGGCGACGCCGCUCAAUGACCGAGCUAGAGUUUUCUUCUCUAGUUAAGGAACGGACUCCCUGGAAUCGGUUCAUCCGGAGAUAGGGACGUUGUUUCCGAAAAGCACCACGAUUUUUGUGGUGUCUCGUGCUCAUUGAACGGCCCUUGAAAUGUCGAUGGAGGCUAUUAUGUCAUACCGCUCCGUACCGAUAACCGCAUCAGGUCUCCAAGGUGAACAGCCUCUAGUCGUUAGAAUAAUGUAGGUAAGGGAAGUCGGCAAACUUGAUCCGUAACUUCGGGAAAAGGAUUGGCUCCAGUGACUGGGUCGAUUGGCCUGCAGACUGAUGCUUGUAUUGUCUUGCCCGUGAACUACUGAAGCUUCGGCUGAAGUUGGACUAGUGGUAGGGUGAUCUUGUGGACGUUUGUAGGUGUAAGUUAGCCUCCGGGCGAAGCUUCCCGAUCGACCACUUAACGGUUGCACUGGAACUGGUACGGACUCGGGGAAUCCGACUGUCUAAUUAAAACAGAGGAGACAGAUGGUCCUUGCGGACUUUAACUGUCUCUGAUUUCUGCCCAGUGCUCUGAAUGUUAAAUCGUAGUAAUUCGGAUAAGCGCGGGUAAACGGCGGGAGUAACUAUGACUCUCUUAAGGUAGCCAAAUGCCUCGUCAUCUAAUUAGUGACGUGCAUGAAUGGAUUAACGAGAUUCCACUGUCCCUAACUACUAUCUAGCGAAACUCAGCCAGGGGAACGGGCCUGGCAAAUAUAGCGGGGAAAGAAGACCCUGUUGAGCUUGACUCUAGUUUGGCAUUGUGAAGAGUCAUGAGAGGUGUAGCAUAGGUGGGAGGUUUCGGCCGACAAUGAAAUACCACCACUUUCAUCGACUCUUCACUUAUUCGGUGAUAGGAGGAUGGGCUUUCGAGCCUUUCUUCUUAGCGUUAAUCACGCUGACUUGGUCAGCGUGAGACUCUGGCCGAAGACAGUGCCAGGCGGGGAGUUUGACUGGGGCGGUACAUCUGUCAAAUAAUAACGCAGGUGUCCUAAGGCUAGCUCAGAGAGGACGGAAACCUCUCGUAGAGCAAAAGGGCAAAAGCUCGCUUGAUCUUGACUCUCAGUAUGAGUAAAGACCGCGAAAGCGUGGCCUAUCGAUCCUUUUAAUCCUGAUAGUUUCAGGUAAGAGGUGUCAGAAAAGUUACCACAGGGAUAACUGGCUUGUGGCAGCCAAGCGUCCAUAGCGACGUUGCUUUUUGAUCCUUCGAUGUCGGCUCUUCCUAUCAUUGCGUAGCAGAAUACGCCAAGCGUUGGAUUGUUCACCCUCUAAUAGGGAACGUGAGCUGGGUUUAGACCGUCGUGAGACAGGUUAGUUUUACCCUACUGUAGUCAAAUUGUUGCAAUAGUAAUCCUGCUUAGUACGAGAGGAACAGCAGGUUCAAACAUUUGGUUCAUGGACUUAGCCGAACGGCUAAUGGUCCGAAGCUACCAUUUGCGGGAUUAUGAUUGAACGCCUCUAAAUCAGAAUCCCAACUAAUGGUUAGUUAUAAUAAUUGAACUCCUGGUGUCAGGAUGUUCGUAUAUCACGUGGUAACGCGUGAGACCCUAACCCUAUCAUUGAAAUGAGCUCGCAGGUGAAAACCUAGCGGUGUUCCAAAGUCAGAUUACUCUGGCCUGAUUUCAGGGUUGAAUUCACUAGUCUACGACUAGUAUACUGGUCAAUGAGUUGUAUCCAGUAGAGCAACCUUAUAUGUU
This 3282-nucleotide ribosomal RNA is filed under the name Cephaloboides nidrosiensis. RNAcentral describes it as "eukaryotic LSU rRNA". It matches the Rfam family "Eukaryotic large subunit ribosomal RNA". The record is from RNAcentral. Lineage: Eukaryota; Metazoa; Nematoda; Chromadorea; Rhabditida; Rhabditidae.